Molecule: long non-coding RNA, 293 nt
Organism: Sabethes cyaneus
Lineage: Eukaryota; Metazoa; Arthropoda; Insecta; Diptera; Culicidae
Exons: 3
Source: RefSeq, a predicted model, not a curated record
CACCAAAUCAAGAAAACAGUUAUUGUGGUUAGGAAUAUUGCAUAUCUGCAACAGGCCGGCAGAAAGAAAACCAUCUACAAUAACCAUCUCGCGCUGGGAGCUGACUUGAUCGGGUUCAAAUCGCCGACAACAAUUAUCUCAUCAUCGGGACCAGCUGAUUCAACGAUGGAUUCGACAAAAAAACAAAACGAGCGAUACCGUUCAACACUAGAGCCCUAGCAUGUUCAGUGCUGGUGAGACGGUUGUGGACGGCAACUAAUACACCUCCUCCGGAUACCUUUUCACUAUUGGAG